Molecule: long non-coding RNA, 201 nt
Organism: Pyrus x bretschneideri (Chinese white pear)
Lineage: Eukaryota; Viridiplantae; Streptophyta; Magnoliopsida; Rosales; Rosaceae
Exons: 2
Source: RefSeq, a predicted model, not a curated record
CAGGGACCAAUCAUUCAGGACGCCUCGAUGUGUGCGCUAGAGAAUCAUAGCGUCGACUCCAAGUUUUAGCUGCUGAGUUUGUAUCGACAACAAUCUGUGGUGAAUCUUAGUAUUAAUGGAUAUUUUUGAGGGUAUGAUUCUUACCCAUACUACUGUACCUUACUUAUGCUCUGACAUCGCGUGUGAAAUGGGUUCACUCCC